AUACGGAGGGAGCUAGCGUUGUUCGGAAUUACUGGGCGUAAAGCGCGCGUAGGCGGACUGGUCAGUUGGGGGUGAAAUCCCAGGGCUUAACCCUGGAACUGCCUUCAAUACUGCCAGUCUUGAGAUCGGGGGAGGUGAGCGGAAUUCCUAGUGUAGAGGUGAAAUUCGUAGAUAUUAGGAAGAACACCAGUGGCGAAGGCGGCUCACUGGCCCGAUACUGACGCUGAGGCGCGAAAGCGUGGGGAGCAAACAGGAUUAGAAACCCCGGUAGUCC
RNAcentral lists this ribosomal RNA (274 nucleotides) under uncultured bacterium. Its description in RNAcentral is "partial 16S ribosomal RNA". It matches the Rfam family "Bacterial small subunit ribosomal RNA", at positions 523 to 796 of the family's 1533-position model. The record is from RNAcentral.